This is a long non-coding RNA of Gymnogyps californianus (California condor), 1764 nucleotides long. RefSeq lists it as uncharacterized. Lineage: Eukaryota; Metazoa; Chordata; Aves; Accipitriformes; Cathartidae. The record is from RefSeq and is a predicted model, not a curated record. The transcript has 3 exons.
GACUGAGGACCAACGGGACGUCGCUGGAUGCAUGGCGAGAAGGAAGAUGUAGGAUUUGACCUUCCAAACAGUCUGGACAAAUUUCAUUCCAAACUUAUAAACCCUACAGCAUGAACCAGCUUUUCUGCCACAGUCAAAUAUGAGGAUAAUAUCAUUCCUUUGAAUUCUCACGGAUUUUUGUCAUUCACUAAGAGCUGAGGGAAGAAGAGAAUCCACAUUCUUCAGAGUGAUCAGUAAAAUGAUAUUUCUGGAAAUGCAAAAAUGUAAUCGACUCCUGUUUAAAUAAAUCUAUGCAGUAGGAGGCUGGAACACAAGAUAACAAGAUAUGCACAAAACAGCCUUCGUUAGUACUCCAAAUUGCAUCGCUCAAAGGACUCUAAACUGCAGUAGGAAAUCAGAUUCAGCCUCAUUUGUUAUUAUCUCCACCUUUCAGUUAUUCCAAUAUUAUCUCCACCUUUCAGUUAUUACAAUAUUAUCUCAACAGUACAGCAUCACUGGUCCAGGCCUUAUCUGAAGAAUAAAAUAGAGCCUGUUUUCUAGAGCACCACAAGGACUCACCUGGGCAUCCCAUGCACCUUUGUACUGAACACCCCAGCCCCUUUAAUCUGCUUUAUUCUCUGCACAUGCAACAGUUGCCCGUUGGCGAAUCUGACUUUCUGGCCUCUGACCUUGGCCAGACUGUCUUUGGCCAAGAGCGUGCUUCCAAUAAUGCUGAUGCCUGUGUUGAAUGCAGGUCUCUUGAGAACCUCAGUGUCACAGAUUUUGAACAUCUGCCCUUCUGAGUAGAUGCAGAAUAAACAACUGUUUUUCAACAUCUGUAAAAAUUUUAAGUCAGGGAGCUUUCAAAUUCUUUGUACGUGAAGCCAUUAGUUUAGUAAUAGGAUGGAUAUGACACCACGUGGGAAAAAAAGUCUUAGACUAGAAAUAUUUUAUCUUUUCUCUACUGACAAGAACUAAAGUAAAUAUUAGAUCUCCCUUGUGUUUCUCUAUGCUUCCUCCUCCAUCAGGAUGGAGUCUAUUCCUGGAAUCUAGAGCUUGAACCUGCAGGAGUGCUGAGGCUCACAUAACCACCAGCAGCAGCUUCUCUGUGUAUCAGGCAUUUUUUUCUACCCUGGAAGUUGUACCUGUGAUAACAGAUGCAGCGACAUGCAGCAUUUUCUCUGGUUUUCUCAGUAAUGGCAUGACUGACAUAUUUUAUAAUCCUACUCCACAGAGCAGCAGAUGGUGCCUACCCUUUCUCAUCCUGUACAAGACUUGGUAUUUCUUCUCUGUCAGUCAUAAGACAGGUUUUUGAUUUUUGCUGGCUGCACAAGCCAUGGAAUUUCAUACAGCAGUAGCUACUUCUCCUGCCAAUCUCGUAUCUCUCGAGGCCCAAACUUAGCAAAAGUCCUUAACUCUUGGUACAACUUUUAUGCCAAAUGUAGCAAGCCCUGAAUGAUCACUGACUAGCACUAUUCUUUAGAAGGACUGACUCUCAAAGUGUGUGCAAAUUAAAGGCAGAGGCAUGCCAUAGCAAUUCAGCACAAAGAUUAAUCACUCUCUUUACCACUAGAGCAAAUGUGUCUAUUAGUACAAGGCCUGUUAACAUCACACAGAAACCUCAGAAGAUGCGUGCAUGGUCAUCCACCUUUUCUGCUCCACCUUGACGUGAGAUGACAGUCACAUAGCGCAUUAAAGCACUACAACACUCAAACUAGUACACCAUACUAGUCAAUAGAGCAUGUUCAUUUAGAUUCAAAAUGAUGCUCAAACAGUUAUGCUCAG